RNAcentral lists this long non-coding RNA (1522 nucleotides) under Rattus norvegicus (Norway rat). Its description in RNAcentral is "long non-coding RNA NONRATT007055". Lineage: Eukaryota; Metazoa; Chordata; Mammalia; Rodentia; Muridae. The record is from RNAcentral.
AAAAACACGGUGUGGUUCCACUGAGCACUUGACACAUUUCCUGCACAGUGUAAGGGUCUGUCUCUAACAUCACCAGCACAGUUUUAAGAAUGUGAUGGUUGCCGGGCAGUACAGGUCAGCUUAGGAAGAGAAGCCUUCAAAAACGGAAGUUCUGUAAACAGAAUUCCAGGUGUUGCAUUCCUGUCUUAAACACGUUUCUUUAAAUCCACACGACAGCACGGCGGCGGCAGACUUUUCUACUGGGUUGUCAGCGUCUGAGGUGACUGACAGCCAGCUAACUUCCUGACUCACCAGUUCAGUGUAGUCAUCACUUACUGUGAAAUCGCAGAGGCCCGCCAGGCUCAGCUUGUCUCUUCUUCCUCCGAGAAGCAUCAUCUCCACAUGCUGGGCUUCCCUGUGUGGGCUUAGAAAGCUUUCCUGCCUGAUACCCUUGUCAGUUCACACUUUUCAUUCCUUGAAGUGAACAAAUUCUUCUCGAAGUGUAUGUAGCUCUAACACCCUCAGCUUCUGCUCACCAGGAGCCCGUUAGGCUGCGCCUGCUAGACAAGGCGGGAGCCCUCCAACAUCAGAGAGCGUUGUUGCUGUUUUGAGCGUCAGUUCUUACCGCACACGUAUUCCGUGGGGUUUGGAAUAGCUGAGUAGUUCCUAUGGGGGUUUUUUUGUUUGUUCGUUUUUUGUGGAUCUACAGUGUGCAUGUGCUACCUAGUCAGGUAGGAACCCACCAUCUUAGCUCUGACUCAGGGUGCCAGCAGUGGGUCAUUUUAUCUCUGAUGAGGUAGAAGGGGCCUUGUGCUCGCGGCAAGCUUUCAUUCCCACAGAUGAGGGACACUUGCAAAGUGCCAGCAAGGUUAGAUCUUUGCCACUUCUUUGAUUAUUUUUUUAUUAAUUUGGGCUUUUAAAGGGCUGUUAAAAAAAAAAAAAAAAAAAGAGGCCGGGAACCUUUGAGUAGGCACGCUGCGUACCGAGCUCCCUAGAACCUUUAACUAGAGUUCAUCCUGGUUCAGUGUAUGUACUUGAAGAAGCACUAUUAUAAUCAAUAAGAAUCUAUUCGAGUCUGCCAUUUAAUUUAAACCUUUUCUGUUGCAGAUUGCUUUAUUUCAGGGAAAUGAUUUUCCAGUUUUUGCUACAUUCUGCAAAUAAAAACCGUGUGUUUCCUUUCUUCCACCUAAACUUUGGUAGGAAACAGACUAAAGCAGACAAACAUUUCUUGUUGUGCUUGUUGCUUUCUUUAAUCCAAUGGAUAAAAAAAAAAAAAAGUAAAACUCUGUAAACAUUAUUUUAUUUUUUUAUGCAAUACCAUGCUGUAAAUACGGUUCAUCGAGUAAGGAUGCGCCUAAGAUUGAACCUUUGAUUCUGCACAGUUAGAGUUUAUAUAUAAACGUGUCUUGACAAUCAAGGACUUGACGUGAGUCUUCCUUUGUGAUGUUUAUCAAUGUCGUGCAUUCCAUUUGUCUGAAGUGAGUACCAAUGUGCUGAUUUGUAUGGUCUGAAAGUAUGUAAUGUUUUUACAGCUUGUUUUUAA